AGAAUCAACGCUGGCGGCGUGCCUAACACAUGCAAGUCGAACGAGAAAGUGGAGCAAUCCAUGAGUAAAGUGGCGCACGGGUGAGUAACACGUGACUAACCUACCCUUGAGUGGGGGAUAACCUAGAGAAAUCUGGGCUAAUACCGCAUAAUACCUUCGGGUCAAAGGAGCAAUUCGCUUAAGGAGGGGGUCGCGGCCGAUUAGUUAGUUGGCGGGGUAAUGGCCCACCAAGACUGUGAUCGGUAUCC
This 248-nucleotide ribosomal RNA is filed under the name uncultured bacterium. RNAcentral's name for it is "partial small subunit ribosomal RNA". It matches the Rfam family "Bacterial small subunit ribosomal RNA", at positions 26 to 288 of the family's 1533-position model. The record is from RNAcentral.